GUGCCAGCAGCCGCGGUAAGACAGAGGUGCCGAGCGUUAGGCGGAAUCACUGGGCUUAAAGCGUGUGUAGGCGGACUCGUAAGUGCUUUGUGAAAUCCCACGGCUCACCCGUGGAACUGCUUGGCAUACUGCGAGCCUUGAGCCACUUAGGGGCAACCGGAACAAACGGUGGAGCGGUGAAAUGCGUAGAUAUCGUUUGGAACGCCAAUGGUGAAAACAGGUUGCUGGGAGUGCGCUGACGCUGAGACACGAAAGCCAGGGGAGCGAACGGGAUUAGAAACCCUGGUAGUCC
This 292-nucleotide ribosomal RNA is filed under the name uncultured bacterium. RNAcentral describes it as "partial 16S ribosomal RNA". It matches the Rfam family "Bacterial small subunit ribosomal RNA", at positions 505 to 796 of the family's 1533-position model. The record is from RNAcentral.